UACAGAGGGGGCAAGCGUUAUUCGGAAUUAUUGGGCGUAAAGAGCGUGUAGGCGGCCAUACAGGUCCGUUGUGAAAACUCGAGGCUUAACCUCGAGACGUCGAUGGAAACCGUAUGGCUAGAGUCCGGAAGAGGAGAGUGGAAUUCCUGGUGUAGCGGUGAAAUGCGCAGAUAUCAGGAAGAACACCCGUGGCGAAGGCGGCUCUCUGGGACGGUACUGACGCUGAGACGCGAAAGCGUGGGGAGCGAACAGG
Molecule: ribosomal RNA, 253 nt
Filed under: uncultured bacterium
Lineage: Bacteria
Description: partial 16S ribosomal RNA
Rfam family: Bacterial small subunit ribosomal RNA
Source: RNAcentral